Non-coding RNA from Corvus hawaiiensis (hawaiian crow), 913 nucleotides. The record is from the annotation of a RefSeq genome assembly. NCBI's taxonomy places the organism in Eukaryota, Metazoa, Chordata, Aves, Passeriformes, Corvidae.
UUGACCUCCCAGAUGCCCAGCACUGGGUGUGCAGCAGAGCUGGUGAUUCCAGCUGGGGAGGUGAGGACUCCACUGCGAGCUGAGCGGGAACAGCCCCUUCCCAUGACUGAGGCCCCAGAGGCACGGAAUGGUCAGAAUGCCGGUGGCUGAGGGAGGCACGGGGGCAGCUGCUGGAGGAGGGAGACACGCAGAAGGAGCAUUUCAGGCACUGGAAGGACAGGUCAUUUCUCUGCCCCGCCUCCGCUCCUUCCUUUGCUGCCCCCAGAGAGUGGUUUCCGGCAGCUCUGUUAUCUCGGGGCUGGCAGGUGGUUUCUGACUCUCCCUCACUCAGCAAACACGCAGCUUGGUCUCGGCAUGCACCUCGCCUAUCUCAUCCUCACGGUCUUCCUGGGCCAGCUCCUGGGCACCACGGGGCAGAUCAUGGUCACCCAGGAAGAUGGACAAGUCAUAGUGGAGCAGAGACAUCCCUUCCAGACCACCUGCACAUACCAGAUCAGUAAUUUUAGGGCAUUGCUCUGGUACCAGGUGCGGAAAGGCCAAGCCCCACAGCUGGUCUCCUAUCACGCAGGGCCUGGCGCCAAGCACAGCGGCCGUAUCACCACGCACCUGAACACCACGGGGAAAUACAGUGUCCUGCAGGUGGAGGAAGUGGAGUGGCUGUGGCCAGAGCCCAGGUCCAGCAGGAGCCACGGCUGGAGACCACCGAGAACACCGGCAUCAACAUCAGCUGCUCACAUCCCAAAAUCCAGACCGGAGACUGGAUCCAGUGGUACCGUCAGCUCCCGGGCCGAGGACCCGAACUGCUCGCGCUCACUGUGAAAGAGUCCAAAGAGCUGCCGGACAUUGCGGGCGGUCUGUGGGUGUCGGCAGAUCGCCGGAGCAGCGCGCUGUGGCUCCGGCGGCCCCGGCGCGG